Molecule: unclassified non-coding RNA, 339 nt
Organism: Mustela putorius furo (domestic ferret)
Lineage: Eukaryota; Metazoa; Chordata; Mammalia; Carnivora; Mustelidae
Gene: 7SK
Rfam family: 7SK RNA
About the family: 7SK was discovered as an abundant small nuclear RNA in the mid-70s but a possible function has only recently been suggested.
Source: Ensembl
GGAUGUGAGAGCGAUCUGGCCGUGACAUCUGUCACCCCAUUGAUCACCAAAGUUGAUUUGGCUGAUCUGGCUGGCUAGGCAGGUGUCCCCUUCCUCCCUUCCCACUCUAUGUGCAUCCCUCCCAAAGCUGUAUACUCAGAGGAAGAGGACCACUACCCAACAGAGGAAGACCAUUCUUGAAUCAAGGGUAUAUGAAUAGAUGCACUCCCCCUCUACAACCUCCAAACCAGCUCCCUAGGUCCAUUGAUAGGAGAACUUAUUCUCCUGGUCAAGCUUCCAAGACUCUAAUGACAAAGAAUUUUUUUGACCAGCUUUUCUGGUUGUUCUCAAAAGAGGAUU